CUGGUCUGGAAACCCUCCAAUCAGGCAGGCAGCUGGAGCGAAGAGGACGGCUUUCUGGUAUGGCGCGGCCUUUGUCUCUUGCUGCCGCUGGAGCUCCAGAUCUCUUGUUCACUGCUCUGUGUUCUCUGCUCAUAGAGGCCCAGCCUCUGAGGCCCUUUGACCUGCAGGUAUUGGGAGAUCCACAGCCAAGAGCCAGGACCCCCUAGAAGUCUAGAAAUGACCUUAAACAGAUUCAGAGACCGUGGGGCCAACAAACUGAACUGGAGUAACAUGUGAAUUGAGUAGACAUGUAGACAAGAAAGUCUCCACUAUCCCCUUUCUACUCUUGCUGAAAUGCUCACUAAUGUGCAAGUAACACCUGCUGCUACUCCUGCCAUUCAGGACCUAAAUCUGUAGCUCCAUAUUUUGAAUCCAGAUCUUGAGAUUUGGGAAAUAAAAAACUUUUAUCUAAAAAGUGC
Molecule: long non-coding RNA, 458 nt
Filed under: Homo sapiens (human)
Lineage: Eukaryota; Metazoa; Chordata; Mammalia; Primates; Hominidae
Description: non-protein coding lnc-ZNF737-3:1
Source: RNAcentral